GGGUUGUGAGGUUAAGCGACUAAGCGUACACGGUGGAUGCCCUGGCAGUCAGAGGCGAUGAAGGACGUGCUAAUCUGCGAUAAGCGCCGGUAAGGUGAUAUGAACCGUUAUAACCGGCGAUUUCCGAAUGGGGAAACCCAGUGUGAUUCGUCACACUAUCAUUAACUGAAUCCAUAGGUUAAUGAGGCGAACCGGGGGAACUGAAACAUCUAAGUACCCCGAGGAAAAGAAAUCAACCGAGAUUCCCCCAGUAGCGGCGAGCGAACGGGGAGGAGCCCAGAGCCUGAAUCAGCAUGUGUGUUAGUGGAAGCGUCUGGAAAGGCGCGCGAUACAGGGUGACAGCCCCGUACACAAAAGCGCAUGUGCUGUGAGCUCGAUGAGUAGGGCGGGACACGUGGUAUCCUGUCUGAAUAUGGGGGGACCAUCCUCCAAGGCUAAAUACUCCUGACUGACCGAUAGUGAACCAGUACCGUGAGGGAAAGGCGAAAAGAACCCCGGCGAGGGGAGUGAAAAAGAACCUGAAACCGUGUACGUACAAGCAGUGGGAGCACAGGUUUACCUGUGUGACUGCGUACCUUUUGUAUAAUGGGUCAGCGACUUAUAUUCUGUAGCAAGGUUAACCGUAUAGGGGAGCCGUAGGGAAACCGAGUCUUAACCGGGCGUUAAGUUGCAGGGUAUAGACCCGAAACCCGGUGAUCUAGCCAUGGGCAGGUUGAAGGUUGGGUAACACUAACUGGAGGACCGAACCGACUAAUGUUGAAAAAUUAGCGGAUGACCUGUGGCUGGGGGUGAAAGGCCAAUCAAACCGGGAGAUAGCUGGUUCUCCCCGAAAGCUAUUUAGGUAGCGCCUCGUGAAUUCAUCUCCGGGGGUAGAGCACUGUUUCGGCUAGGGGG
RNAcentral lists this ribosomal RNA (894 nucleotides) under Salmonella enterica subsp. enterica serovar Mbandaka. RNAcentral describes it as "partial 23S ribosomal RNA". It matches the Rfam family "Bacterial large subunit ribosomal RNA", at positions 1 to 926 of the family's 2925-position model. Lineage: Bacteria; Pseudomonadati; Pseudomonadota; Gammaproteobacteria; Enterobacterales; Enterobacteriaceae. The record is from RNAcentral.